AUCCAGAUGACGAGUCCAAAAUAGGACGAAAUGCGCAUUAUUCUGGAU
Molecule: non-coding RNA, 48 nt
Filed under: Trichobilharzia regenti
Lineage: Eukaryota; Metazoa; Platyhelminthes; Trematoda; Strigeidida; Schistosomatidae
Source: RNAcentral